AGAGUUUGAUCAUGGCUCAGGAUGAACGCUAGCUACAGGCUUAACACAUGCAAGUCGAGGGGCAUCAGGAUGUAGCAAUACAUUGCUGGCGACCGGCGCACGGGUGAGUAACACGUAUCCAACCUGCCUUUUACUCGGGGAUAGGCUUUCGAAAGAAAGAUUAAUACCCGAUGGUAUAAUAUUUCCGCAUGGGAUUAUUAUUAAAGAAUUUCGGUAAAAGAUGGGGAUGCGUUCCAUUAGGCAGUUGGCGGGGUAACGGCCACCAAACCUUCGAUGGAUAGGGGUUCUGAGAGGAAGGUCCCCCACAUUGGAACUGGAGACACGGUCCAACUCCGUACGGGAGCA
This 345-nucleotide ribosomal RNA is filed under the name uncultured bacterium. RNAcentral describes it as "bacterial SSU rRNA". It matches the Rfam family "Bacterial small subunit ribosomal RNA", at positions 8 to 350 of the family's 1533-position model. The record is from RNAcentral.